Molecule: ribosomal RNA, 416 nt
Filed under: Nautilus belauensis
Lineage: Eukaryota; Metazoa; Mollusca; Cephalopoda; Nautilida; Nautilidae
Description: partial 16S rRNA
Rfam family: Bacterial large subunit ribosomal RNA
Source: RNAcentral
UGCGGUACACUGACCGUACUAAGGUAGCAUAAUAAUUUGCCUUUUAAUUGGAGGCUAGUAUGAAUGGUUUGACGUGAAAUAUACUGUCUCAACUAUAUUUAGUAGAAUUUAACUUUUAGGUGAAGAGGCCUAAAUUUUGUGGGAAGACAAGAAGACCCUAUUGAGCUUUAAAUAUUUAUGUUAGUGGGAGCCUAAGAUUUAUAUGAUGGUCAUUACUUCUAAGUAUGUUGGUUGGGGCGACCGAGGAGUAUAAAGUAACCUCCUUGUAAUGUAAAGAAUUUGUUAUCAACGAACCUGUAAUAUAGGUUAUUCGGUAGUUACCAUAGGGAUAACAGCGUAAUUCUUUUGAAGAGUUCAUAUCGAAGAAAGAGAUUGCGACCUCGAUGUUGGAUUAAGGUGUCCUAAGGGUAGAAGAA